GAUGAACGCUAGCUACAGGCUUAACACAUGCAGGUCGAGGGGCAGCGGUAUCGAAAGCUUGCUUUCGGUAGCCGGCGACCGGCGCACGGGUGAGUAACGCGUAUCGAACCUGCCUCAUACUCGGGAAUAGCCUUGCGAAAGUAAGAUUAAUGCCCGGUGUUUUCAGAGUCCCGCAUGAGGCUUUGAACAAAGAUUUAUCGGUAUGAGAUGGCGAUGCGUCCCAUUAGCUUGUUGGCGGGGUAACGGCCCACCAAGGCAUCGAUGGGUAGGGGUUCUGAGAGGAAGGUCCCCCACAUUGGAACUGAGACACGGUCCAAACUCCUACGGGAGGCAGCAGUGAGGAAUAUUGGUCAAUGGGCGGAAGCCCGAACCAGCCAAGUAGCGUGCAGGAAGACGGCCCUCCGGGUUGUAAACUGCUUUUAGUUGGGAAUAAAACGGGGCUCGUGAGCCCCCUUGCAUGUACCAUCAGAAAAAGGACCGGCUAAUUCCGCG
RNAcentral lists this ribosomal RNA (492 nucleotides) under uncultured bacterium. RNAcentral's name for it is "partial 16S ribosomal RNA". It matches the Rfam family "Bacterial small subunit ribosomal RNA", at positions 28 to 507 of the family's 1533-position model. The record is from RNAcentral.